This 1224-nucleotide ribosomal RNA is filed under the name metagenome. Its description in RNAcentral is "bacterial SSU rRNA". It matches the Rfam family "Bacterial small subunit ribosomal RNA", at positions 272 to 1498 of the family's 1533-position model. The record is from RNAcentral.
GGCGACGAUCCGUAGCUGGUCUGAGAGGAUGAUCAGCCACACCGGAACUGAGACACGGUCCGGACUCCUACGGGAGGCAGCAGUGGGGAAUAUUGCGCAAUGGGCGAAAGCCUGACGCAGCCAUGCCGCGUGUGUGAAGAAGGCCUUCGGGUUGUAAAGCACUUUCAGUGGGGAGGAAAGGCUCAAGGCUAAUAUCCUUGGGAGUUGACGCUACCCACAGAAGAAGCACCGGCUAAUUCCGUGCCAGCAGCCGCGGUAAUACGGAAGGUGCAAGCGUUAAUCGGAAUUACUGGGCGUAAAGCGCGCGUAGGCGGCUUGGUAAGUCGGAUGUGAAAGCCCCGGGCUCAACCUGGGAACUGCACUCGAUACUGCUGAGCUGGAGUACGAAAGAGGGGGGUGGAAUUCCAGGUGUAGCGGUGAAAUGCGUAGAGAUCUGGAGGAACACCGGUGGCGAAGGCGGCCCCCUGGUUCGAUACUGACGCUGGGGUGCGAAAGCGUGGGGAGCAAACAGGAUUAGAUACCCUGGUAGUCCACGCUGUAAACGAUGUCUGCUAGCCGUUGGGAUCCUUGAGGUCUCGGUGGCGCAGCUAACGCGAUAAGCAGACCGCCUGGGGAGUACGGCCGCAAGGUUAAAACUCAAAUGAAUUGACGGGGGCCCGCACAAGCGGUGGAGCAUGUGGUUUAAUUCGAUCAACGCGAAGAACCUUACCACCCCUUGACAUCCAGAACUGCCCAGAGAUGGGCGGGUGCCUUCGGGAGCUCUGAGACAGGUGCUGCAUGGCCGUCGUCAGCUCGUGUCGUGAGAUGUUGGGUUAAGUCCCGCAACGAGCGCAACCCUUAUCAUUAAUUGCUACGCAAGGGCACUCUAAUGAGACUGCCGGUGACAAACCGGAGGAAGGUGGGGAUGACGUCAGGUCAUCAUGGCCCUUAUGGGUAGGGCUACACACGUCAUACAAUGGCCGGUACAGAGGGCUGCCAACCCGCGAGGGGGAGCUAAUCCCGGAAAACCGGUCGUAGUCCGGAUCGCAGUCUGCAACUCGACUGCGUGAAGUCGGAAUCGCUAGUAAUCGCGGAUCAGCUUGCCGCGGUGAAUACGUUCCCGGGUCUUGUACACACCGCCCGUCACACCAUGGGAGCGGGUUCUGCCAGAAGUAGUUAGCCUAACCGCAAGGAGGGCGAUUACCACGGCAGGGUUCGCGACUGGGGUGAAGUCGUAACAAGGUA